ACAAAGUCUCAGAAUGGUUUUGCUCAAAAUAACUAUGAUUCUUUGGAUGAUAUAAUGAAUGCGAUGAUCAAACGGGAGCAAAACGAGUCGAUGCUAAUGGAUGGAGAGUUUGGAUUUGAUGCCUACUCCCUUGGAUCAUGUUUGUGAGACUUUGCUAUAGCUGAUUUGUAGAGAAACAGGGCAGCCAAAAUCCCAAGUCCAUUCUUCUUCUGGAGGAAUUUGUACCAUCUUGUAAUCUAUUAUGAAUUUAUUUUUUCUUUUAACCCCAUCUUCCCUUUUCC
RNAcentral lists this unclassified non-coding RNA (281 nucleotides) under Hevea brasiliensis (rubber tree). The record is from RNAcentral. Lineage: Eukaryota; Viridiplantae; Streptophyta; Magnoliopsida; Malpighiales; Euphorbiaceae.